CGGAAGGUGAGGAGAGAGAGAGAGAGAGAGAGAGAAGAAUGGCUGGGGCCAGGUGUUUUCUCCUAGACCAGCAGGAUGAGAAUAGGAGAAGGACCAUUAUUCCUUUACACAGGUGGGAAAGACUGAGGCCCAGAGAGGGCAGUCAUGCGCUCAAGACCACACAGCCAGUCAGCACAGUCAGGGAUUGGAGCCAGGACUUUCCCUGCUGGGCCAAGGGAGGACAUGGGAGGAAGGAGGGGCUUGGAGGGGGAGCCGUCGGCUGCCCCAGAGGACAGAUGAGGAAACCAAGGCUUGGGAGGAGAAGCGGCGCAUCCUGUGGCACACAGUAGGUGUGACACAAGACAGCUGACUCUGGCUUCCAGGCUCUUCCCACAGAUCUGCAGAGCUUCUGCCCUCCCAGCCCCACCUGCCAGGACUAGGUCCUCUCCGCCGGCCCUGCAGCUGCGUUCUCUGCCUCUGCUCUGUGGACUGAUGCCUCACACGAGCUCCCUGGCCUCUGGCUUCUGGUCUUCUUAAGUGAGGAGACGUCUCCAGCCUUGCUUCAAUACAUGCUUUCCAACUUCUGCACCUGUUCCACGGUUCCGUCCGCCUGAAGGCUCUCUCACUCUCCUCCAGAAAGACUUCCAUCUCCCUGCAGGGAAACUGGACACAUGGAGACAUUGAGCCACUGCCCAAAGUUACACAGGAAAGCCAGCUAUGUCAAUGUGGACACUCGAGCAGUCCUCUGGAGUGAGCCACAUGGUGAAAAAUGGAGUCCUCCUGCCACCAGCCAAAAGGGACUUGCCAACCUUGUGACUGAGCCGGCCCAGACACUCCAGCCCCAGUUAAACCUUUGGAAGACUGUGGCCUCACCAACAUCUUGACUGCAACUUCGUGAGAGACCCAGAGCUAGACCCAUGCAACUAAGCUGCUCCCCAAUUCCUGGCCCACAGACACUGGGAGAGAUAAUACAUGUUUAUUUCUGUUUGAAGCUGCUAAGUUUUGGGUAAUUUGUUUUGCAGCAAUAGGUAAUUGAUAGCAUUAGGAAACAUUAGCUAAUGCUAACAAUGUUUUGCAGAUGAGGGAAUUGAGGCAUAAAAGUAACUUGCCCCAGGUCACACAGGUAACAAGUCGUUUAAACCAUGGCAGUUUGGAUCUAUGUAAAGUUCAGUAAUAAAUUAGAAUCUCUCUUUUACAGGAAUCAGGACACUUUGCCUGCUCAGAGGGAGAGAGGGAAAGAGACAGAGACACAAACACAGAGAGACAGUGACAUGGAGAAGUGCGCCGUGGGCUCACAGUACCAUGUGAAGGACUGGGGCUGCCCUUCUGUAAAGUGAAGGCAGUGGAGAAGUGAAGUGAAGUGUAAGUGAAGAGGAAAGUGAAGGAUGGUAGAGAGCACCCUUGCCCUUGCAGCCUGGCUGUGUUUGGCUUGGGGCUGCUGGUCUCCGACCCUGGCUGGGCUGGUGACACAGCCUAAGGUACCUGGGGGUGGAAUCUGGCACCCCUGAGCAGACCCCUCCCUGGCUCUUGUCCCCCUGUGCUGACACUCUCUGUCCCAGGCUCUCUCUGCCUCCAGACCAGAGCUCCUCCAGGGAAAAGGUGGAGUCUUGUUCGUCUGUGUCCCUCACCUAGCAUAAGGCCUGCCAGAGCAGGCUGGGCGAGGUGAACACAGAAGGUCCUCUGGCCCUGGUACUGGAGAGGCAUCAUCACUGGGGACAGAGUGAGAACCAGGAUGAUGCUGUUUGUUACUGGAGGAGCUCCCAUUGGAUGGAGGAGCCAACAACGACAGGCCAGUGUGAUCAGGGAGAUUGGGACACACAGUGCCGUGGGGGCCCAGAGGAGCAGGGAGGAUCUCUGUGGAGGAGGCGAGAAGUCUUCCCAGAGGAGGAGGCAUUUGAGAAAUUAACCAGUUUAUGUGCCCUGAAAAAUUCCCACUUCCACCCUCUGGGUUCGCAUGCUGGCUCAGUCACUUACUAGCUGUGUGACCUCUCUGCUGCUUAGCUUACUCAUCUGUAAAAUGGGAUAAACACAAAACCUGCCUGAUGGAGAUGUCGUAAGGAUCAAAGAGGAAAAAGAAUUUAAAACAUUUAGAAUGGUGCCUGACCCCCAGCAAGUAUACAAUAAAUAUUGGCUAUUGUUGUUAUUUUAUG
Molecule: long non-coding RNA, 2129 nt
Filed under: Homo sapiens (human)
Lineage: Eukaryota; Metazoa; Chordata; Mammalia; Primates; Hominidae
Description: HSALNT0292229
Source: RNAcentral